This 491-nucleotide ribosomal RNA is filed under the name uncultured bacterium. Its description in RNAcentral is "partial 16S ribosomal RNA". It matches the Rfam family "Bacterial small subunit ribosomal RNA", at positions 28 to 507 of the family's 1533-position model. The record is from RNAcentral.
GAUGAACGCUCGCUACAGGCUUAACACAUGCAAGUCGAGGGGAAACGCCAUUGAAGCUUGCUUCGAUGGUCGUCGACCGGCGCACGGGUGAGUAACGCGUAUCCAACCUGCCUCUGACCAAGGGAUAACCCGUCGAAAGUCGGCCUAAUACCUUAUGCAGUCGUCGGAAGUCAUCUGAUGACGACGAAAGAUUUCAUCGGUGAGAGAUGGGGAUGCGUCUGAUUAGCUUGUUGGCGGGGUAACGGCCAACCAAGGCAACGAUCAGUAGGGGUUCUGAGAGGAAGGUCCCCCAGAUUGGAACUGAGACACAGUCCAAACUCCUACGGGAGGCAGCAGUAAGGUAUAUUAGGCAAUGGGCGAUGGCCUGAACCAGCCAAGUGGGGUGCAGGAUGACGGCGCUAUGGGUUGUAAACUGCUUGGAUGCGGGGAUAAAGUGAGGGACGUGUCCUGCAUUGCAGGUACCGCAUGAAUAAGGACCGGCUAAUUCCGUG